Molecule: microRNA precursor, 102 nt
Filed under: Anopheles gambiae (African malaria mosquito)
Lineage: Eukaryota; Metazoa; Arthropoda; Insecta; Diptera; Culicidae
Description: microRNA aga-mir-988 precursor
Gene: aga-mir-988
Rfam family: mir-988 microRNA precursor family (bases 15-96)
Source: miRBase by way of RNAcentral
CUGUGGAGCAUUGGACAUUGCCGGUGUGUGUUUUGUGACAAUGAGAUUUAAUAGUUUAAGUUCAUCCCCUUGUUGCAAACCUCACGCUGGCGGUGUUUCCGA